CCUUGCUGAAUUAUUCACCCUUGUCUUUUGCGUACUUCUUGUUUCCUUGGUGGGUUCGCCCACCACUAGGACAAACAUAAACCUUUUGUAAUUGCAAUCAGCGUCAGUAACAAAUUAAUAAUUACAACUUUCAACAACGGAUCUCUUGGUUCUGGCAUCGAUGAAGAACGCAGCGAAAUGCGAUAAGUAGUGUGAAUUGCAGAAUUCAGUGAAUCAUCGAAUCUUUGAACGCACAUUGGGCCCUUUGGUAUUCCAAAGGGCAUGCCUGUUCGAGCGUCAUUUGUACCCUCAAGCUUUGCUUGGUGUUGGGCGUCUUGUCUCUAGCUUUGCUGGAGACUCGCCUUAAAGUAAUUGGCAGCCGGCCUACUGGUUUCGGAGCGCAGCACAAGUCGCACUCUCUAUCAGCAAAGGUCUAGCAUCCAUUAAGCCUUUUUUUCAACUUUUGACCUCGGAUCAGGUAGGGAUACCCGCUGAACUUAAGCAUAU
RNAcentral lists this ribosomal RNA (486 nucleotides) under uncultured Alternaria. RNAcentral's name for it is "eukaryotic LSU rRNA". The stretch from base 126 to 279 matches the Rfam family "5.8S ribosomal RNA". Lineage: Eukaryota; Fungi; Ascomycota; Dothideomycetes; Pleosporales; Pleosporaceae. The record is from RNAcentral.